AGUCUGGUGGGGCGUUUUGGGACAAUGUAGUAGCACUUAGUAGGUAACUACCUUGCUGAAAAACACAAAGGCAUUAUCAGAAAUUUAUCAGAUGUGAAUUCUUUAAUACAAAACCAGGCAUUAAAAUGGAUUUUGAAGACCUGCCAUCCCUUUCACUUUUGCAGACUUCCAGGUAAAGGAACGUUUCAGUCGCAGCAGAGACUGAAUCGCCCCUGCCCCAGUACUACACAAAAUGAGCUGAAGAGCAGGGAGCAGAAGGGAAGUUAAAGCAGAGCUGCAGACGACUGUGUCCCUAAGAACAAGGCUCCACCUCAGAACUGGCAUCAAAUAGACUAAACGUUCAUUAAAAGGAAAAUAUUUUGAAUUUUAUUUUUUCACGUUAUUCUCAAGUACACAAUUACAAUAAUGUCACACAUCCCUAUAUGGUUCUAUGUAUUUUGUUUUUUUCUUUUGUCUUUUUUACAAAGUGUACAGAGGGAAGGACAUAUACAAUAUUUAACAGGGUAUUUUCUACAGAACAAUAAUUUAUAUUAUGUCCUUGUAAAAAUCUGUACCUUUUUUAAACAUUAAACUGAAACAUCCAUUUUAUAGCAUUUGCUAAGCAAAUUAUUUAAGAAUUAAAACUAACCUGUAACUAAUGUCAGUACAUUAACAAUAACUAUAAUUUCAUUUUCUCUUUAUACAGACAAAUACAUUUUACAAAAUCCACUUGACCAAACCCUUAAUUAUUAAAAAAAAAGUUUCAACAUUGUGCUUUAAAAAAAAAAAAGUGUAUGAUUCCAGGCUACGUAAGAGAAAGAAAAUGCAUUAAAUUGUGUUCUUUGUCUUUCAGCUUAUUUAAAAAAAUAAAGUUCAAAAUGGCUAAAAUCCUCAGCACUACUAUGGGAAUUUAUGCAGAUUUUGUACACUUUCCAGGUUUCCAGUUAGAAAAUGCUUGAACAUAAGAGAGAAAAAAAAGUAGUCACAGGCAGGUAUUUUGCAAGAAGCGAGUGGGAAUCUCUGCUGGGUUUUACUGCAUCUGGUUUGGCAUCAGCAGGUAACGGACACUACGGCCAUGUAGGAAAUCCACUGGCUUCAGCGAGGAUUUCAAGGAAGGCACAAUGCAGCACAGCCAGGAAUUACACACUAAAGGGUCAUGGCCUGCUAGUAGCAAUAUUACACAAGAGCACACCUGGCAAGUCUGGGGGCACUGCAAGCAGGCAAAGAAAGAAAAAACCAUCCUACAACAUAGGCAGCGACAUGGCAUUGGACUCUCCUGAACUGCACACUACAGACGAGAAUUUCAGCUUACAGUGA
This 1296-nucleotide long non-coding RNA is filed under the name Ficedula albicollis (Collared flycatcher). Its description in RNAcentral is "lncRNA (ENSFALG00000024774.1)". The record is from RNAcentral. Lineage: Eukaryota; Metazoa; Chordata; Aves; Passeriformes; Muscicapidae.